CUUCCUAGCUUAAUACCCUCCUCAAUGCCCAGCCCAGACCUGCCUUUCACGUCCCUAGCUGUAUUCACUCUCCCUGGCGACCGGGCGGCGUAGAAUCGGCGGCCAGCAGUGCUUUAGACACAGGUUAAGUGUCUGCCCCUCCCUCCAGGGUUACGCACCACCCCGAUGCAUACUGGGAUUGUAGUUCUGAAGCUACCUACCCAUGGGCUGAGAGCAGUAAAGAGACUACAACUCCCAGCAUACCAGGCGCGGCGCGCACCGCCCUGCCCCUUCCUCUGGGGUUGCGAACAGCCCCCGAGCCUGGUACAGGCUGGGAUUGUAGUCCUGCAGCCUUGUGGCCGAAGGGCUGGGACUGGCCAUGAGAUUACAUGUCCUAGCAUGCUCAGCCAGGCGCGCGCAGCUCUGCCCCUUCCUCCAGUGAUGCGCACAGUCCCUGAUCCCUGUGCAUGCUGGGAUUGUAGUCCUGCAGCCCUGCGAUCACUUGCCGGUAACAAGAAAUUUCAGCUCCCGGCAUGGUGGGCGAAGGCCCCCACCUUCAGCCUCGCUCCUCCAUGCCUUCAGAGCAGUUCCGCCAUGCAGAGGGGGAGACUGCCUGUUCUUUAACCUCUCCUACCUGAUGGGAGAGGACAAGCUACCAGGGCAGCUUGUCUCACCAAGAAACUGUGAUACUGCAUCCCCCAACGUGCUGGCUUCCUGACUUCCAAAGUUGCGGCAAGGUAAGAAGAACUACAGAGGAAGAACCUACUGCAGAUGUUUCCCAGGAGACUUUAAUUGAAGUAUCAGCAAAACUGAAAGGUAACGAGAGAAUCUUGUGCCUCUGAGGGUGUCUUUCCCAUGGAUCCCUGCUCAGUUGCCUUUCACGGGCCCCCUGAUUUGCGUGAACUCCUGACCUCAGAUGAUCCACCUGCCUUGGCCCUCCAAAGUGCUGGAAUUAUAGGCAUGAGCCACCGUGCCUGGCCUGUUCCAUGCAUUAAAAAAAAAUUAAAAAAUUAAAAAAAAUCAGUGAGAACAAGAAGAAAUGUAAAUGCUGGGCUUUUCAUAUAAAUCCAGGGAAUUAUGGGACAGUUAGUACCCACCUCCCAGGGUAUUAUGAGGAUAAAUUCAUGUCAUCUUCCCACCACAGUGCUCUGUAGCGUGCUUCUGAGCACACAGAGCAUGCUCCAUAAACAUUGCAUUAACGCAUGUGUGCAUGUUGUUUUCCAAAUGCAGACUUACUCAGACAUGAGCUGCCUUCUCCAGCCUCUGUAAAGUUUAAAGGACCAGCAGAGUAUGCCAUGUUUUAGGAUAGUGAUUGGUGGUUUUUAUUUUGGACUGAAAGCAUUUAUGUUGUGAGAAGAGUAUGGGUUUAAGGAACUGUGUGCUGUGGCACUUUGUCUAGUUGAGUGCUGCUAUAAGUGAUCUAGGGCAAGUAGGGUCAGCAUUAGCUGUGAAUGAAGCCAAUCCAUGGACCCCUUUCAAACCUGCAGAAUUGGCCAGGCAUGGUGGCUCAUGCCUGUAAUCCCAGCACUUUGGGAGGCCGAGGCGGGUGGAUCACUUGAGGUCAGGAGGUCGAGACCAGCCUGACCAAUAUGGAGAAACCCCGUCUCUACUAAAAAAUACAAAAUUAGCCGGGUGUGGUGGCACAUGCCUGUAAUACCAGCUACUCGGGAGGCUGAGGAAGGAGAAUUGCUUGAACCUGGGAGGUGGAGCUUGCGGUGAGCUGAGAUUGCGUGCCAUUGCACUCCAGCUUGGGCAAGAAGAGCAAAACUCCAUCUCAAAAAAAAAAAAGAAAAAGAAAAAAAGGGAAAAAAGAAAACAUUAAAUGCAGCAAGAUGCAGGUCAGAGCAUACCUCCAUUUGUGUGCUCUUGUGGACAAAAUUUAAAUGGCAAAUAAGAUUUUGCAUUUAUUGACGUUUUUCUUUACAUUGCUAUAAGUACAAAUACCCAUUUAUCCUUUGACCUCCUAUAUCUUUAUUCUGUAUGCAUAUAAAAAAAAUGCUAGAUCUGUAUCUAGAUUAUACAUGGGUAAACACAACAUAUAGAAUUAUAUGACUUUGCCUAUGUAGAUAUUUAUGUAUACAAUAGAUAUUAAUCAACAUUUUAAAUUCCCCAGCCUACACUGAGGAUGCAGAUAUAAACUUACUCUCAUCUAUAUGGAUCCAUACCAUCUCAGACUGGAACACAGCCAUACAAUGUUAUGUUUAAACAUCAAUAAAGCUUCACAUAUAGGUGCAUGGCCUGGGAAGUAUGUUUUUGGUAAAGCCAUCUUAGACUCUAGUUCCAGCUUAGCAUUUCAGGGCCCUGCUUCCUUUCUCACUGUAUGCCUGUGAUUCACAUUUGCCAUUUGGGUCGAUUGACUUAUAUCCAUCUAAGCUGAUCUAAGUGGUUUAUUAAACUCAUCUGGGCUGCAGAAGUUGAGAAGGAAAGCGACCUCUGACCUACUUAUUCUGAGGCUUGUCUACAGGACAUAUGCAAUAAUGGGAAUUACAUUGACAUACCUAUGUUACCCAUUUUCUGUUUUUUUUUUUUUGAGAUGGAGUUUCACUCUUGUUGGCCAGGAUGGAGUGCAAUGGUGCAAUAUCAGCUCACUGCAACCUCUGCCUCCUGGGUACAAGCGAUUCUCCUACCUCAGCCUCCCGAGUAGCUGGGAUUACAGGCACCUGCCACCACACCUGGCUAAUUUUUUGUAUUUUUACUAGAGAUGGGGUUUCACCAUGUUGGCCAGGCUGGUCUCGAACUCCUGACCACAGGUGAUCCACCCACCUCGGCCUCCCAAAGUGCUGGGAUUACAGGCAUGAGCCACCGUGCCUGGCCUUUCUGUGUAUAUGUUUAUCUAGCCACCGAUAUCAUAUCUAUAUGUAUAAAAAAGACCACCAAAGCACUCAGAGGUGAUUUUUAUUUUCCAUUCAGGCCAAGUAAAUCCAAUCAGCCAUUAGCUCAGUGAAGAUUUGUCAAAUCCAAGCCACACACCAAAUCACGUUAUACUAAAUGUGAAAAUGUUCUCAUUACUGGGCACCAAGGUGUUUUAAAUUCAGAGUCUAAUCAAAAUAGCCCAUGUGGUUCUGUCCAUCCAGCUAGGACGCUUCAGACAUACCAGUGGGCCUAACCUUUUUCACAAGGAGCUCUGGCCUGGCCAACAAGAAUCACCUUUGGUGCUUCAGUGCAGUGUCACCAUCACCUGUUUGAAAUGCAGCCAGGUAACAUGUACCAUUUUAUUUGCUUUCAGUAUCACCGUCUAUCUUCGAAAUGCAGCCAGGUAACAUGUACCAUUUUAUUUGCUUUCAGUAUCACAGCCUAUCUUCUAAUAAGAAACGUAGGCCUCUGGCUGGGUGUGGUGGCUUACACCUGUAACCCAGCACUUUGAGAGGCUGAGGUGGGUGGAUCACUUGAGGUCAGGAGUUCGAGACCACCCUGGCCAACAUGGUGAAACUCCCAUCUCUACUAAAAAUAUUAAAAUUAGCUGGGCAUGGUGGCAUGUGCCUCUAAUCCCAGGUACUAGGGAGGCUGAGGCAGGAGAUCACUUAAACCUGGGAGGCGGAGGUUGCAGUGAGCUGCGAUGAUGCCACUGUACUCCAGCCUGGGCAACAGGAGUGAAACUCCAUCUCAAAAAAAAAAAAAAAGGAAUUUUUUUUUUUUUUUUUCUGUGCUGGGUUUACUUAGCAUACCUUUCAGAUUCAUGAAUGUUGCAAAUAACAAGACUUUAUUUUUAAGGGCUGAAUGGCAUUUCAUUGUGUAUAUAUACAUUUUCUUUCUCCAUUCACCUACUGAUGAACACUCAGGUUGAUUCCAUACCUUAGUUAUUAUCAGUAAUCCACUUCCUUCCCUUUCAUUUGUGUUUGUUUUGUUUUGUUUGAGAUGGAGUCUCAUUCUGUCACCCAAGCUGGAGUGCAGUGGCGCGGUCUUGGCUAACAGCAACCUCCGCCUCCCAGGUUCAAGCAAUUCUCCUGCCUCAGCCUCUCGAGUAGCUGGGAUUACAGGCACACACCACCACGCCCAGGUAAUUUUGUAUUUUUAGUAGACAUGGGGUUUCUCCAUGUUGGUAAGGCUGAUCUCCAACUCCCGACCUCAGGUGAUCCACCUGCCUCUGCCUCUCAAAGUGCUGGAAUUACAGGCUUAAGCUACCAUGCCUGGCCAAAAGCCUAGGUUUCUUUCUAUGUAAGCCUAGGUUUAUUUCUAUGUAAGCCUAGGUUUAUUUCUAUGUAAGCCUAGAUUUAUUUCUAUGUAAAGUAUAAAAGAAAUUUAAACUCAUAGAAGCAGAGAGUACAAUAAUGAAAAAAAAAAUCUCCUAUGGGGUUUUUUGUCUGAUUGAGAGCUUCUUCAUGAUCUUUCAGGGAUUGUAUUUUCUUUCAUCUUCUGCAUCCUCCUGUUUUUUAGCCAAUGGAUGAAAAAAGAUACAGAGAAGACACAUUUGCUUUUAUCCACUGCACUUCCACUCACUAUUAGUCAUUGUGGAUACAGCUGAGAAUAGCAGUUUUCUGGCAGGACAGCCACUUCUCAGUAAUAAACAACUGAAAAAGUAUAAAUGUGUCAUAAAAAGCUAAUGGAUUUUAAGAAAAACAAGCAUAGGCAUCAAUAAUGUUUGUGGUAAAUAAAGAUUCAUAUUGUUGAUUUCUAUUGAGCUCCCGUAAUAUUUGAUAAAAGCUUGCAAAUAUACAGCAGAAAAGGAGUAUUAUUCUAAAUCAGAAUAUUGUUAUGGCUAUUUUGUCAAUAGAAGUCAAUAUCCAAUAUACAGAAUGGUUAUUUUGUCAAUGUAAGUAAAAAUAUGACUUCACACUAAUAGUCUCACCAAUAGUUGUAAUCAAAUGCUAUUUUUUAUUUAAAAUUUUAUUUCAUAUAAGUAAUCCCAGCACUUUGGGAGGCCCAGGCGGGCAGAUCAUGAGGUCAAGAGAUCGAGACCAUCCUUGCCAACAUGGUGACAGCCCAUCCCUACUAAAAAUACAAAAAUUAGCUAAGCAUGGUGGCACAUGCCUGUAGUCCCAGCUAUUCGGGAGGCUGAGGUAGGAGAACCACUCGAUCCCGGGAGCUGAGAUCAUGCCACUGCACUCCAGCCUGGGGACAGAGCAAGACUCCAUCUCAAAAAAAAAAAAGGUCUAUAUGUUUGCAGACAGACCAGAUGUUCAAAGAAAACUAUAUAAUAAACAUUUACUAAUACAUUUUUCAGGAUUCAGAAAUACAUGGAUUCUAUUUCUAUUUCUUUCUCUUUUUUUUUGAAAUAGAGUCUUGCUCUGUUGCCCAGACUGGAAUGCAGCGGCAUGAUCUCAGCUCACUGCAACCUCCACCUCCGGGGUUCAAGCGAUUCUCUCCUGCCUCAGCCUCCAGGUGUGUGCCACCAUGUCUGGCUAAUUUUUGUAUUUUUAGUAGAGCUGGGUGUUGGGGUUCAAUCAGGCUGGUGGGAAAAAUAUUUAAAAGAGUAACAGUCAAAAGCUCUCCUAAAAGGCCUGAGAGUUUGCAUAGCUUGAUUGCUUGGCUGAAGGCAGCCAGGGUCUCUUUGCAGGAGGCCAGGAAGAUUAGGGUGCAAGUAAAAAGGAAUGUAGGAAGUUUAUCUUACUAACCUGUUUAGUUAUAUGGGCUUAAGACUAACUUGUCCUGCUGAGGGUACUUUACUGCCGCCUACUCGGGGGUCCGCAGUUUAUUACCCACAAAUGGUGUUGGCUUUAGGCCUGGGAACCUGGCCUUUAAUUUUACCCUCUAGUGGUGUUUACUCACAACUUUUGUUAAUUAGUCUUACUGAAUAAAUGCAAGCCUCACUAUCUGAUCAGAGCCAAGUUGCAACUGUUUACAGAACUCACCUUGGAGCCUGUAAGCAGCUCAGACCCUCAGCUGGACUGGCAGAGCAGAAAUGUGUGUCAGUGUACUUUAUUAAUCCACAGCGAGUGCCCCCGCGAAAGGAGCGCUGCCUCAGACGGGGUUUCACUAUGUUGGCCAGGAUGGUCUUGAACUCCUGACCUCAGACAAUCCACCUGCCUUGGAAAGUGCUGGGAUUACACGCCUGAGCCACUGCACCUGGCCAUAUUUUAUUUAUUUUUCUGUAUAAUUUUUAUUAUGACCAUAAAAAUAAACCUGUAGUCAGUAACAAUUUAAUUGUACAUUUUAAAAUAAUUAAAAAUGUAUAAUUACACUGUAAUUCAAAGGAUAAAUGCUAGAGGUGAUGGAUACCUUAUUUACCCUAAUGUAAUUACUACAUAUUGUAGGCCUGAAUCAAAAUAUGCCAUAUAAGGCAUAAAGAUAUACACAUACUGUAUACCCACAAAUACUAGUAAUAGAUUUCAAUAAGAAAAAAAAAUUUAACCUAUGGGAACAAUUCUUCAACUCAUUUGCAGUUUAAAGCCACUGGCAAAGUGACGAGUAGAGAUGUUAUUCCACUAUGUACCAAACAGUAUAUUGUUACCAUCUUUUAAGUACACCCUUGAUUAAGGUGGGAUAGGUUAAAGUUAGUGGCAUAAUGGCCAGGUGCGGUGGCUCACGCCUGUAAUCCCAGCACUUUGGGAGGCCGAGGUGGGCGGAUCACAAGGUCAGGAGAUUGACCAUCCUGGCUAACACAGUGAAACCCCAUCUCUACUAAAAAUACAAAAAAAUUAGCCGGGCAUGGUGGCGGGUGCCUAUAGUCCCAGCUACUCAGGAAGCUGAGGCAGGAGAAUGGUGUGAACCUGGGAGGUGGAGGUUGCAGUGAGCCGAGAUCGCGCCACAGCGCUCCAGCCUGGGUGAAAGACCGAGACUCCAUCUCAAAAAAAAAGAAAAAAAGUUAGUGGCAUAAUAAUGCUUCAUUAAACGCAGAAUAGUCUUAACAUGGUAUAAAAAAUGAAAUUAAGUUCACACAUCAUCUAACAAUUUUUAAAUAUACUGCAUUCGAUUACAUAAAAGUACAAUUAGUAAAAUAAUAUUCUCAUUUAAUACUUUUAACUGUAAUUUUUCUCACUAUAAUGUAGAAAACUAUUACUCUGAACCCCCACUUUUUAAAAAUCUUUAUUAAUAAAGUAAUUCAUUAUAAUUUUUGAAAAAAAAAAGUUUUAAAAUGGUCUGCCAACAUGUUAAUGUAGGUUAGGCCACCCAAAAGACAAAGCAAAACAUCAACAUUAAGUCAUAGGCUAGGAUUAUACAAAUGAGAACCCCCACCUUAUACAUUACUUAAUAUAAGUUAACUACAAAGAGCCUCUCCACUUACAUUUUUAUCAUGCAUCUUACAUUUUAAUGUCCUUAUUCUUUUAUAGAAAAGGUCAUAAUACCCAAUAAAAGAGAAUCUGUAAUAUCCCUGAUGCAGCAACACUUGAUCACAUGCUUUCACAUGUGACCACAAUAGGAAUAAAAUAACAGCAUAAAGAAUUUGAAAGUUGUAUUACAUCAUUAUUCACUGUUCAAAAAUUUUUUUCAAGAAACAAGUACACUUUCAAUGAAAUUACAAUGCUUCAGAAAAUCUCCCUUUUAAAGUUAUAUACAAAAACAGCUUUAGUUGUGGAUUCAUUUUUAUACUCAAUACUCUGAUUUAGUGUAAUGUCUGAAGUGUCAGUGCCUUAUUCUAGUGUAAAUUCUCAUAUUUACAUAAAAUCAAUUUUGAAUUAUUUUUUUCAUAUUUACAUCUGCAAAAAUAUACUUUAGUAUAAACUCUCUGAUGUUUUCUAAGCUAUAGAUUUUGAAAAAAAAAAGUCUUUCAAAAUUCAUUAUAUUUGCAGGACUCUUCUCCAAUAUAAAUUCCAUGAUGUUGAAUAAAGCUGGAGCAACUGCUUCAGGGUUUUCCUCUAGUACACAAUGUGUGCAACAAGAUCUGGGAUACAAGUAAAGGUACUACAACCCCCCCUUAUAUUUGUAAUAGCUGAUUUCAGAAUAAAUAUUCUUCUUUAAA
This is a long non-coding RNA of Pan troglodytes (chimpanzee), 7816 nucleotides long. RefSeq lists it as uncharacterized. The record is from RefSeq and is a predicted model, not a curated record. Lineage: Eukaryota; Metazoa; Chordata; Mammalia; Primates; Hominidae. The transcript is spliced from 2 exons.